GCUCACUUAGCUCAAUGGCAGAGCAAUCGGCUGUUAACCGAUCGGUUGUAGGUUCGAGCCCUAUAGUGAGCGCCA
RNAcentral lists this transfer RNA (75 nucleotides) under Bacillota bacterium. RNAcentral's name for it is "tRNA-Asn". It matches the Rfam family "tRNA". Rfam says of the family: Transfer RNA (tRNA) molecules are approximately 80 nucleotides in length. Their secondary structure includes four short double-helical elements and three loops (D, anti-codon, and T loops). The record is from RNAcentral. Lineage: Bacteria; Bacillati; Bacillota.